Molecule: RNA transcript, 7320 nt
Organism: Populus nigra (black poplar)
Lineage: Eukaryota; Viridiplantae; Streptophyta; Magnoliopsida; Malpighiales; Salicaceae
Exons: 6
Source: RefSeq, a predicted model, not a curated record
UUAGUGAUGUUGAUAUGACUCCUGCAAUGGGCUGCAUGCUUAUAUCGUUGAUUAUUCUUCUUAUUCUUCCAAGUAUUUGCCUAUACUGUGAUAUGUGGAGAUUUGGAUGGGUCCAUAAAUUGAUGGUGUGGUCUGCAAAACUAUGGAUAGUUACGAUAAAAAUCUCAUAUGUUAUUUUACAUGAUUAUCCUUAUACAUGUUUAUGAAGCCUUAACUAUAUACAUGUUUAUAAUUAGCUUACCAUGCUGGCUAUAUAUAUCUCGUAAAUAGAAAAGGAGAUUUAGCUUACCAUUUAUAGCUUCCUAAGAUCACUCCAGUACACGAUUGAAAACUCAGUAAUUACCUGUGCUAUGUAUCUCUACGUGUUUUGUUAAUUGAUUGUUGACAUUUUCAUUAGCUUGUUCUGUAAAUUUGGGUUGAAAGUUUUUGGUGCGACUCUUUAUUGAUUGCUUUUGGAAUCCAUGGAUGGAUAGUUGUGAGAAAAAGUUUCAAUUUGAUAAUUGGGGUCGAUUAGUCCCACGUGUAAAAUCAAGCAAGGCUAUAAAGUACCUACAUAUAGCCUUUUUCCUUGAUGUGAUAAUUGUAACUUAAAUUAUUUGAUCGACAUGUUCUUGGAUACUCGUGGAGCAUUAUUUAUGCUUGAAGGCUUGUCCAUAAAUGUAGAUGCUUUUUAAAAAUUUACAUGAGCUAAAUUGUUAGUGAUGUUGAUAUGACUCCUGCAAUGGGCUACAUGCUUAUAUCGUUGAUUAUUCUUCUUUCAUAGCUGUAUAUCCCUUGAUUAUCUCUCUCAGAUUUUCAUUAUUGUUUAGGCAUAGGAUUAAGGGAUCUGAUUAUGUUUAUUAGACCCUAAAAUUAAGGGAUUUGAUCAUUCUUGUGUGUGUGUGUGUAGGUGGGUGUAACUCUCUUAGUGAAAGAAACAGAAAGCAUUUUAGAAAUUCUCUUGUAUUAUCUUGUCAUCAACACGCUUCUUGAAUACUCUAAGGGUGUAGCUUAGAAUAGGCUAAAAUGUAAGGUAUCUCCUCAACUAAGUUUCUACAUAUUAUUACAUAAGCUAUGAUUUCAGCUGAAAAUUUCCCUCACAUUAAACUAAUUCAUACAGUUGAGAUGGCAGAUAAUAAUAAAACAUGGUCUAGAGAACACAAUUAUUUAAGAAUUAUUUGGGUAUUUUAUUUCCUACUUUGGUAUGACCUAGUGUAGGAUUUGGGGACCUGAAUAGGCACCCAUUUUUUCGAGUCGUAAUGCUAGAUGCUUGUCGAGUGAAAUUUGAUUUUUUGCAUGUUUCCUUACUCUUGUGGAUAUGUCGACUUCUACUUUCCUUGUAGAUUCAAGAAAGCUUCUUGUGGAUUUCUAGGUUUCUUUUCUUCACUAAUUGUUGGGUGAUUUUUUGUUUUUGUUUUCCUUAAAUCCUUUGGUAAGCUUGCGUUGCAGUCUUUUGUUUUGAUAUGCGUGAUUUUAAUCAGCAUUUCAAUUGUCUGUUGUUUCAUCUGUUCAGAAUGUCGGCACAAUUAUUUUUAUCAAUAAUGAUGCACAUCGUUCACGUGUUUGCUCUAUAUGCCUAUUUUUUGUGUUAACACAUGCUCCUGCCCGUUAUAUUUUCCUAGAUCUUUUUCGUGCUCUCCUAGGAUGCCAAUAAGGCUGUUAUAUGUUUUGCUGGCAAUGAUAGUUUGUUUUUAAACCUUGGAUGUGUCUUUAUACUGUGAUUGUGGGAUGCUCUUAUUAGCAUUUCUUUAAUGGGUGCUGGUAAGGAUUAUGAGCGUUAUUUUUAUCAAUAGAUGCACAUAAUUCACAUAAUUUGCCCUUUAUGCCCAUGUUUUGUGUUAACACAUGCUGCUGCCUAUAAUUUUUUUCUAGAUCAUUUUCCUGCUUUCCUAGGCUGCCAAUAAGGCUCUUACGUGUUCUAUUGGCAAUGAUAGUUUGUUUUUAAAUUUUGAUGUCUCUUCAUAGUGUGACUGUGCGAUGCUCUUAUUAGCGUUUCUGUAAUGGAUGCUGGUAAGCAUUAUGAGCAUUAUUCAAUUAGGAAAAAAUUGUUGCUGCUGCAAGUUGACUACACCUAUUGGAGAAAUCAGUUGAGAAUAUGAUUGAUUUGGCGACUGCCUUUAUUUUUAACAAAACUAGUUUCCAUUCUAUUCAUGCAAUGACUGUUUUUCUACUUUAUUAUGCAUGGUGGAUUGAAUGGGUUCCCUUAUAGAUGCCUUAUCUGAUGAAUUCAUUUCCAUUGGAGAUGCCUUUGUGAUGGAUGGUUUCUGCACAAUUGUGUUGGUUCAUUUACAUUUUCAUUGUGUCACUUUCUACAUGCAACCAUUGAUUUAUUUAAUUUUUAUCUUGAGAGAAUAUAUGACCUGAGUGCAUUUGAGUAGUUAAGGCCAAAUGAUGAGUUUGGGAUCUUUUGGUGAGUACACCUGCGCAACAUUCAUACCAUUCCAACAUUGUUUACCUUUAGGAACCCCAUUAAGCUCUUUUGCUUCUAUUCCUCAUGGCUCAUUUUGUUACAUCACUUUUAGUCACUAAUGUACUUGGAUAGCAACCAUGAUUAUUGAUUUGAAUGCUUUUGUGCUCUGGCCUUUUCAAUUGUUAAGUCAUCUUAAUAGAGAGGUUCUCCGUAUGGUUGCACAUUUUGCCCAAACACUGUUGAUUUUUCUUUUCCCAUUUUUACUACGUUCUUUGUCUGCUCGGCUUUUUGGAUUAGUUCAAGUAAUCCUCACUUGGCUUCUUGCAUCAUUCCUAUAACAACCCGUGACAUCACGCAAGUAAUUUACCUAUUAUAUUCUAUUAUGUAAAAUAUUCGCUCUUAUACUGUGUUCGCAAUCUGCUAGACGAUAUGGCAUAAUCACUAGCAAUCUCUUGACCUUCUGCCAUAGACACUUUAUCGUUUGAAUGAUGUACUUCAUAUCAGUAUGUCUUUCAAGCAACUUAUUUCAGAUGGAUUCUAGAGACUAAUUUCACAACUAAUCUGAAAUGACAAAAACAAAAGUUGGAAGCCAUAAUAUCCUUUGCAAGGUUUGAAAUGUUAUAUGGUGAAGCUAUAUUGAAGAGGCAAGAACUAAAUGAUGCUAACUCAUUAGCUGAAGUCAUAACUGGAGAACUCUAAAGUGAGCUUGUCUUAUGUUAUACUUAUUGUUUUUAACGUGAGAUAAUGAUUUAUGUGUCUUUACUUCAUCGAGAUUAUGUUUUUUUUUUACUUCAAUGCAAUCAUAGAACUUAUAUUUGUUUUAGAUCAGCAAAACAAUGAAUCGAUGGAUCAUACUUUCAAAGGAGUUGUUGAGCACUUCAGCGAAGUAUUCUUUGAACUUGUGCAAGGUGGUCAUGGUCAUUUAGUUAUGAUGAAGAAAAAGGUUACUUAAAGGAGCAUUUAAUGUCUUUGUUUCAUUUGUUCUUUUCUUUACUCCUAUCGUUCAUUUUUCCCUUGCUAGUAAGCAAUGCCUUGAAGUUCUUCCAAUGUCUUUUUAUUGCUUUCCAAGUUUAAUCAGUAUAUUUUUUGGUCUUUUAUGUUGAAAUUUUGAGAUAACCAUAUGAGUGCAUUUUAAAGUUUCAUGUCAUACAUUUGUGGUCAAUCUAGAUAGCCAUUGAAACAGUUGUAUAAAUUUUACGGUAUCUUAACAAGAUGUUUAUAACGAAGAUGAUAAUUGUGACGAUGAUGGACGUCAUGAAGCAAAUCUAGAGGGAAAUAUGUUACUGUGAAAAUGAAGGUAUGAAGCAAAUCUAGAGGGAAAUGUGUUUAUUUUUUUGCAGAAAGGAAGAGAUAGAAAUAAGAAAGGAUAUUAUAUAACAUGAUGCCUUAAUUGCUCUCUUACCAACUCAAUCACAACUUAUUGAUCAAUUUUUUUGGAUAUCAUCAACCAUUUGUAACCAGAAAGGAAAUGGACAUCAUUUAACAAGGAAAAAAAUAUAUAAGAAAUUUUAUUGUAAUGCAAAAUUUUCUUUGUUUAACUUCUAGGUUGCUAAACUCUGCUAGUUGCUUUUGACUAUAGUUGGUUGAUGGUUGUGAGAGAGGUUCAGUAACAGGCUCAUGCUUUUUUGGUAAAAUAAAAUAUGGUUUUAGUUAUACCAUUGCUUUAUGGAUUUUGGUUAUCCACUAUGGCUAAUAAUCUUUUAUUUUAUCUGUAGUUUAAGAGCAUUUUUGGAUUUUUUUUUGUUGCUCAACUUUGUGGUUUCGUUUAAUCCAUUGUUUUUUUUUCCUGGUGGUGUUCUACUUUCAGGAAUAUCAUGUAUCGGGUAUUCCAUUGGUAAUAUUGUUUUUGUUUGUUUGCCAUGUUCCAAGUUUGAGGGUUCACUUGGAUUGGGGUAAUGGCAGUUGGGUUUGUUCGAAGAAGAGGGUUUGCUAAUUAUAUAAGUGUUCUUUUCUCGACAAUGAAACAUUAUCAUUAAUAUCUUAUGUUUUGUAGGUUAACUUGUUAAAUUGCUGCAUUCAUUAGCGAAAAGAGGGAGGGGCAUGGCUAUUAUGUGCUUGAAAAACGUAUUUUACGGGAUUGGUAAGAGAGUGUUGUUUGGUCUAUAUGGAUUUUCUUAUCCAAAACUUGGAUAGCGCAACCUCAUACACCCAGCCCAUUUCAGUUCGAAAGUUAAUUAUGUUGAUAAGUUUGUUUUUCAUUGUGAUUUAUUAUUUAUAUUUAAUCUUAUUCAUUUGUUUUUUUGUCUACUAUGUAAUAUAUUGAUAUCAAAAUUAUGUUAUGGGCUUACAGUUUGUUUCUUUAGUAGCCAUUCGUUUUGUAUUGAGUGAUCUCUUCCAUAACCUAUGCAAUGAUGAUGGGCAUCAACUACUCGAUGAAGGUGCAGGGGAUCAAGUUUUAUUUGCUUUCAUUGAGAUUGUGUUGAUAAUUCCGACAAUCGCAUCUCGUGUCUUUCUUUCAUAAACGGUUUUGGCAACUUGCAGUAUAAUGGAGUGUGAAAAGCAGGUGAGCAUCCUUUAUCAAAAAACAAGGUCGGGCAACCCAUUUUCCAGCAAAGCUAUUCGUGACAAAAGGCUGUAAAUGGAAAAUGAUGAUUUACGUCUUUUUUCUUCAAAUUGGCUCAAGCAAGAGUUUAGAUUAGUCUAUUCUGAUACUUUAACAUCAAUGUAGAUGCAUGCUGGUGUUGUCAGAAUCUUUCUAUAGGUGGCACUUUCUUAUCUCAUGCUCAUCAUUUAAUUAGGAAAGGACCAGGCCCUCUUAUGAGAUAAUUCCAUGAUCAAAACACAAUGUUAAGGGUUUUUCUUUUUUGUUUUCUUUUUUGAAUUGUUUGGGUAUCUUUAGUAAACUGGACUUAACAAGAGUUAUAUCUAAAGAAAUGAUUAGCCUUUCUAGCAUAUUAUUUGUUCAAGUUCAUAGGAACUCUGAAUUGUGAAUUUGCUUUAUCAUGUUUUUAUGUGGUAAAUAACUAACUAUGAAUUUGCUCUAGUUUGAGUUUUAAUUUUUUUUUCUUGGCUUUUUAUGUAUUAUUGUCUUGUAAUCAUUAUUUUAAAUCUAUUUAUCUUGCCUGAUUUGCCAGCCAAUAUCUAUGUUGAAAUCCUAGCAGAUGAUGUUUUGGUCUUGCCUCUACAUGUACUUGGUACUUACUGAGAUAGGUCAUGUUUGCAUGCUUCCACUUAAGCUUUCAUCUUUUGAGAAGUGACAUGCUUUCUUUUAUUGGAACAUAUAGGUAUAAGUAGAGUGUGAAAGAGUUGCAUAAAAUGCUUCAUAGGUGCAAUGAGCAACUUCAGCCAUGUAAACAAGAAGGCAUUAGACCAACAUGUAAAUAUCACUGAGAAACUAGAGAAACUCCUGAAAAGUCAAGUUGAACUAUGAUCAGCGAGACAAUGAAUAUUGCACUGUCAAAGGAGUUGUUGAGCACUUUAGCGAAGUAUUCUUUGAACUCGUGCAAGGUGGUCGUGGUCAUUUGGCUAUGAUGAAGAAAAAGAUGUCAUGAAGCAAAUUUGGAGGGAAAUAUGUUACUGUGAAAAUGAAGGUAUGAAUAUGUCGUCGCUAUGUUAUAUGUGUUUAUUUUUUUGCAGAAACAAGGAGAUAGAAAUAAAAAAGGAUAUUAUGUAACAUGAUGCCUUAAUUGCACUCUUUCCAACUUAAUCACAACUUAUUGAUCAAUGUUUUUGGAUAUCAUCAACCAUUUGUAACCAAGAAGGAAAUGGACAUCAUUUAAUGUUUACUAUCAUAACCAUGAGAAGAGAUUGUAGUGACUUGUAAAUGACAUCAUGAAAAUAGUUAUGAAUAUUAUUUUUUGUUAUGCUUGAAUUGAAUUUGGUUUGGAGGCCAUUUAUCAUUGUUCCCAUGGAUCUUUAGGUGGCAAGUUUCGUUUUGGAACUCAUUGUUGCUUAUUGCAUUGAUAAAUUUUUGUAAUUGAUUGUAAGGAACUAAAUUUGUUGUCUAAACCCAUUAUAAUUUGGGUGCAAAGGCCACUAAAAGACCACAACUGGAAAUGUUUGUCAUACAUAUUGAACUGCUACUCUGCAACUUAAUGUUGAGAGUUGUACGCAUGUGGUCUCUAUAAAUUUGUCUAGAAUGACAUAUAUUCAUUACAUAGGAUAGUUGGCCCAAAGAGCACUUCUAAAAUGGUGAUUGCUCAUCUUUAGAGGUAUCAGUUCGGUGAUUUAGUUUUAAAUUGUUCAUGUUUGUAAAAUUCCUGUAAUUUGUUAGAUUUUAUUGUUGCUUUUGUUUUUGUCGUUGCAAUUUGUGGAAUGAUUUCCUCGAAGCACAACAUGUUUUGACAAUAAAUUUCUAAUCCUUCUUCUUUUCAACUCGAUUUAAUAGGAGUUCACAUCUUUACAUGCAAAAGUCACUACACUAGAGCAUGAUCUUCAUAAAUCUUGUCAAGAGGCCUCUAAUAAUCAUGAUCUCUGUUGCCAGUUAGAAAAGGAAUAUCAUGUAUCGGGUAUCAUAUUGGUAAUAUUGUUUUGAUUUGCUUACCAUGUUCCAAGUUUAGUGGUUCACUUAGAUUGGGGGUAAUGGCAAUUGGGUUUCUUCAAAGAAGAGGGUUUCCUGAUUAUCUUAUGUGUUCUUUUCUCGACAAGGAAACAUUAUCAUUAAUAUCUUAUGUUUUGUAGGUUAAUUUGUUGAAUUGUUGCAUUCAUUAGGGAAAAGAGGGAGGGGCUUGGCUAUUAUGUGCUUGAAAAGCGCAUUUUACGGGACUGGUAAGAGAGUGUGUUUGGCCUGUAAGGAUUUCCUUAUCCAAAACUUGGAUAGCGGAACCCCAUACACCUAGCCUAUUUCAGUUCGAAAGUUAAUUGUGUUUGUAAGUUAGUUUUUCAUUGUGAUUAUUUUUUUAUAUAUGUUAUCUUAUUUAUUUGUUGUGUGUCUACUAUAUAAUAUAUUGAGUGAUGAGUGUUUUAAAUUUAUGGACUGAAGGAUUAUUCCU